GGGUCGGUAGCUCAGUCGUUAGAGCAGUUGGCUUGUAUCCAAUUGGUCGUAGGUUCGAUUCCUACACGACCCUCCA
RNAcentral lists this transfer RNA (76 nucleotides) under Pseudomonas aeruginosa. Its description in RNAcentral is "tRNA-Thr". It matches the Rfam family "tRNA". From Rfam's summary of the family: Transfer RNA (tRNA) molecules are approximately 80 nucleotides in length. Their secondary structure includes four short double-helical elements and three loops (D, anti-codon, and T loops). Further hydrogen bonds mediate the characteristic L-shaped molecular structure. tRNAs have two regions of fundamental functional importance: the anti-codon, which is responsible for specific mRNA codon recognition, and the 3' end, to which the tRNAs corresponding amino acid is attached (by aminoacyl-tRNA synthetases). tRNAs cope with the degeneracy of the genetic code in two manners: having more than one tRNA (with a specific anti-codon) for a particular amino acid; and 'wobble' base-pairing, i.e. permitting non-standard base-pairing at the 3rd anti-codon position. The record is from RNAcentral. Lineage: Bacteria; Pseudomonadati; Pseudomonadota; Gammaproteobacteria; Pseudomonadales; Pseudomonadaceae.